AACGAACGCUGGCGGCAUGCCUAACACAUGCAAGUCGAACGAGACCUUCGGGUCUAGUGGCGCACGGGUGCGUAACGCGUGGGAACCUGCCCUUAGGUUCGGAAUAACUCCCCGAAAGGGGUGCUAAUACCGGAUAAUGUCUUCGGACCAAAGAUUUAUCGCCUUUGGUUGGUCCCGCGUUGGAUUAGCUAGUUGGUAGGGUAAAAGCAUACCAAGGCGACGAUCCAUAGCUUGUCUGAGAGGAAGAUUAGCCACACUGGGACUGAGACACGGCCCAGACUCCUCCGGGAGGGGGGAGUGGGUGACAUUGGAACGUGGGGGGAAGGAUGAUGGAGCAAUGACGGGUAAGCGCUGAAAGCCUUAAGGAUGUAAAGCUCAAGUAACUGGGAUGAUAAUGACGGUACCGAAAGAAAAAGCUCCGGCUAACUACGUG
Molecule: ribosomal RNA, 433 nt
Filed under: uncultured bacterium
Lineage: Bacteria
Description: partial 16S ribosomal RNA
Rfam family: Bacterial small subunit ribosomal RNA
Source: RNAcentral